This 121-nucleotide unclassified non-coding RNA is filed under the name uncultured Saccharomycetales. RNAcentral's name for it is "sequence contains ITS1". Lineage: Eukaryota; Fungi; Ascomycota; Saccharomycetes. The record is from RNAcentral.
AUGAAUUAUGUCGCAAGACAAUUCUUUCAAACACUUGUGAAAUAUAUAUUUUGCUUUGGCUUUACGGCCAACAUUAAACACAUCAAGAAUUAAUUGUCUGAAACUGAAUAUAAAUUAUUCA